RNAcentral lists this long non-coding RNA (539 nucleotides) under Brachypodium distachyon (stiff brome). RNAcentral's name for it is "long non-coding RNA (BDIS_LNC001790)". Lineage: Eukaryota; Viridiplantae; Streptophyta; Magnoliopsida; Poales; Poaceae. The record is from RNAcentral.
UAGGAUUCUUUUUUUCCUUGUGUUUCAUCCAAUUUUUGGAUCUUGAUGUGAAGCAAUGCCAUAUUUCUUGAUCUGAUUUGUGUCCAAACUAGGGUUCUUGAUCUAAUUUGUGUCCAUGUUGUGUGUUCGAUCAUCUCUAUUCAUCGAUUCGUUGUUGGCCGGGGAGAUCUCCGAGUUUUGGGCUGCCUGCAGAUGCCGGCGACGGGGAACAAGCAGGGAUGCCUGCUCCUGAGGCAUGGGCGUGGCGACGGGAACGUGCGGGCUGGGCCAAUGCCCAGUUUUUUUUUUAAAUGUGAAAAAUGAUAUCAGUGUCGGUCCCUACAAGGCCCGCCACUGAUGUGCAUAACAUCAGCAACGGGCUGACCGCCCGUCACUGAUGUACCCCACAUUACUGGCAGGAAGUGAGUGACGGACGGUCUGCCCGUUAGUGAUAGCCAUUUUUGACCGUUAUUGAUAAACGUUUUUGUAGCAGUGAAGGGUUUCCCCCAUUAUGGAGCCAACACCACACCUCCACGGCAGGCGACAUCCACCAGCAGCUA